GCCUGGAUGCGAUUUUUGACACCCGGAUACCGGUUUUAAACCUGGUACCCGGGUUUACAUAUAAAACCAUCGAAAACCCUAGCGCCCCCCUUCGAAUCACACUCAACUCUCUCUCUCUCUCUCUCUCUCUCUCUCUCUCCUCUGCGAAGUGCGAUGCCCUACGCCUCCCUCCCUCCGAUUCCUUUCUCUCAUCUGCUCUCUCUCUCUCGCUCUGCUCUACGUCUGGGUCUGCGUUUGCGUCUGCGAUGCCCUAGUCCCUCCUGAAAUUACUCUCUCAUCUGCUCUAUCUCUCUCUCUGCUAUCUGCGAUGCCGAACGGUGGAAGUGCUUGAGCUUGGGAUCCAAGAUAUUAGAACGGAUUUCCGUUUGGGAUCUCUCAGUCAAAUUACUUGAAGUUGCUAUUUGAUGUGGAGAUUAAAUCAUUGAUAGACAUGUUAUUGAUUUUGCAAUUCAUACAUUGUAAUUUUGUAUAUUGUAAUGUAACAUAUAAAUAUCAAAUAAUGUAAUAUGUAAUGUAUUGUAUUGUGAUGCAUGCAUGGAUGAAUUUAUGUAUUUAGUAUUUAGAACA
This is a long non-coding RNA of Juglans microcarpa x Juglans regia, 567 nucleotides long. RefSeq lists it as uncharacterized. The transcript is spliced from 2 exons. Lineage: Eukaryota; Viridiplantae; Streptophyta; Magnoliopsida; Fagales; Juglandaceae. The record is from RefSeq and is a predicted model, not a curated record.